GUACACGCUGUGACUAGCAUAUCAAUAAGCGGAGGAAAAGAAACUAACAAGGAUUCCCUUAGUAACGGCGAGUGAAGCGGGAAGAGCUCAAAUUUGAAAUCUUCAAGGUUCUACCUUGACGAAUUGUAGUUUAAAGAAGUGUUUUUCUGUGAAGUGAUUGGCUAAAAGUCCUUUGGAAUAGGACAUCAUAGAGGGUGAGAAUCCCGUAUUUGUACCAUUCUCUCUAGCUUUGUGAUACACUUUCAAAGAGUCGGAUUGUUUGGGAAUGCAGUCCAAAAUGGGUGGUAAAUUUCAUCUAAAGCUAAAUAUUGGCGAGAGACCGAUAGCGAACAAGUACCGUGAGGGAAAGAUGAAAAGAACUUUGAAAAGAGAGUUAAACAGUACGUGAAAUUGUCAAAAGGGAAGCGUUUGACACCAGUGUUGUUUUCUCGAAAAUCAAUUAAAAAUGGCUCGAUUUUGUAUUGUUGAGACCUUAAAAGCUCACUGUACAUUUUUCGUGUCUUUUUUAAUGCACUUUUCGUUUAACAAGUCAACAUCAGUUUCUUUUGUUGUAAAAGGGUCAUUGGAAGGUGGCUUUCUUUUCGGAGAAAGUGUUUAUAGCCUUUGGCCUCUGCAAUCGGAGAGACUGAGGUCUGCAGCGUAAACUCUUCGGGGUUAGAUACAUUUGUGCUAAGUUAUAGCUUUUUAUAGACAACUUGUUGACUAUAAUUAGUCUUGUAGCUUACUCGCUUAUGCUAUUUUACCUACGCUUAGGAUGUUGAUCUACAGAGCGAGAGU
Molecule: ribosomal RNA, 777 nt
Filed under: uncultured Neocallimastigales
Lineage: Eukaryota; Fungi; Neocallimastigomycota; Neocallimastigomycetes; Neocallimastigales
Description: partial large subunit ribosomal RNA
Rfam family: Eukaryotic large subunit ribosomal RNA
Source: RNAcentral